UAUUUGGGUGGUUUCCAUCUGGGGACAGUGAUAAGUCAGUACUUAUUGUCAGUUUUGUUUGCAAGCAUUUGAAUACAUGUGCAUUGGUAUCUCGUACUUUUAAUUUACAUUUUCUUAAUAACCAGGUAUGUUUAGCAUCUUUUCAUGUCCUUAUUUGCUAUCAUCUUUAUAUCCAUUUUGGUAAAUGUGUGUUCAAAUAUUUUGUACAUUUUCGCAGUUGGGUUUUUUUUUCUUUUUCUAAAAAAAUAUUUUAAUGUUUAUUUUUGAGAGAGAUAGAGUGUGAGUGGGGAAGGGGCAGAGAGAGAGAGGGAGACACGGAAUCUGAAACAGGCUCUAAGCUCUGAGCUGUCAGCAACCGAGUUCGACUCAGGGCUCGAACUCCGUAAUGGCGAGAUAAUGGCCUAGGCUGAAGUCACAUGCUUAACCUACUGAUCCACCCAGGCACCCCCUUAAUGGUGUCUUCUAAAGAGAAGUGUUUUAAUUUUGAUGAAGUUCAGGUGAUCAGUUUUUUUCUUUUAUGUAUCAUACUUUUAUUAUUGUUGUAAUUCCAAAAUUUUUGUGUAGCCCAAGAUCACAAAUAUUUUCUUAUACGUUUUCUUCUAUAAGCUUUAUUGUUGUUAGUCUUAAAUUUAGGUCUGUGACUAGUUUUUAGUUAAUUUUUGUACAUAGUGCAAAGUAUUGGACCGAGGUUUUUUGUUUUUUGUUUGCAUAUGGACAUAUCAGUUCUAUUAUCUGUUGAAAGGACUAUUUUCAAAUAAUUUUUAUGUUUAAAUGUAAUACAUUUAUAUGAUUUUUAAGAAUUCAAACAGUACAAAGGGUUCACAGUAAAAAUUCCGUCUUUUUCUCACCUUUGCCCCCAGCUCCUCUCCUUCAAAGGUAACCAGUGUUACCACAGAGAUUCUAUGCCAUGUACAUGUCUCUCUGCUGCUGCUUUUUUGGGGGAAAAAACCAUGUUUUCUCAAAAUACUAGGCAGAGUGAUACUGUUAAAAAGUUUUGUUCAUAGAACACUCCACUCAAAGCUUCCCCAGGCCAUAAAUGAUCUUUAUUUGUAUCCUGUCCAUGCUCUCAUGUAUACACACACGCGCGCACACACACACAUACACAAUUUCACUGCCUUCCUCCCCUACUUCUCUCCUCCUUACUUCUCUCUGACCACCCUGCCUGCCAUUGCUACCGUUUUCACAUACACCAUACAUGUUUGUACCCCAGGGCCUUUGUACUUGCUAAUCCUUUGGCCUGGAAUUCUUUUUUCAGAUAUCUGUUAUAAGACUUCCUUCUUAACAUUCUUUACAGGCUUUAUUUGCUCAAAUGUCACCUUCCUCACUCUAGUUGUUUUUUGUUUUUUUUUUU
This is a long non-coding RNA of Neofelis nebulosa (Clouded leopard), 1351 nucleotides long. RefSeq lists it as uncharacterized. Lineage: Eukaryota; Metazoa; Chordata; Mammalia; Carnivora; Felidae. The record is from RefSeq and is a predicted model, not a curated record. The transcript is spliced from 2 exons.